Molecule: ribosomal RNA, 450 nt
Filed under: uncultured bacterium
Lineage: Bacteria
Description: partial 16S ribosomal RNA
Rfam family: Bacterial small subunit ribosomal RNA
Source: RNAcentral
GUGGGGAAUUUUGGACAAUGGGCGCAAGCCUGAUCCAGCAAUGCCGCGUGCAGGAAGAAGGCCUUCGGGUUGUAAACUGCUUUUGUACGGAACGAAACGGCUCUGGUUAAUACCCGGGGCUAAUGACGGUACCGUAAGAAUAAGCACCGGCUAACUACGUGCCAGCAGCCGCGGUAAUACGUAGGGUGCAAGCGUUAAUCGGAAUUACUGGGCGUAAAGCGUGCGCAGGCGGUUUUGUAAGACAGGCGUGAAAUCCCCGGGCUCAACCUGGGAAUGGCGGUUGGGACUGCAAAGCUGGAGUGCGGCAGAGGGGGAUGGAAUUCCGCGUGUAGCAGUGAAAUGCGUAGAUAUGCGGAGGAACACCGAUGGCGAAGGCAAUCCCCUGGGCCUGCACUGACGCUCAUGCACGAAAGCGUGGGGAGCAAACAGGAUUAGAAACCCCAGUAGUCC